RNAcentral lists this ribosomal RNA (429 nucleotides) under Acidobacteriota bacterium. Its description in RNAcentral is "Acidobacteria bacterium partial 16S ribosomal RNA". It matches the Rfam family "Bacterial small subunit ribosomal RNA", at positions 355 to 776 of the family's 1533-position model. Lineage: Bacteria; Pseudomonadati; Acidobacteriota. The record is from RNAcentral.
UGGGGAAUUUUGGACAAUGGGUGAAACCCUGAUCCAGCCAUCCCGCGUGUGCGAUGAAGGCCUUCGGGUUGUAAAGCACUUUUGGCAGGAAAGAAACGUCAUGGGUUAAUACCCCGUGAAACUGACGGUACCUUCAGAAUAAGCACCUGCUAACUACGUGCCAGCAGCCGCGGUAAUACGUAGGGUGCAAGCGUUAAUCGGAAUUACUGGGCGUAAAGCGUGCGCAGGCGGUUCGGAAAGAAAGAUGUGAAAUCCCAGAGCUCAACUUUGGAACUGCAUUUUUAACUACCGGGCUAGAGUGUGUCAGAGGGAGGUGGAAUUCCGCGUGUAGCAGUGAAAUGCGUAGAUAUGCGGAGGAACACCGAUGGCGAAGGCAGCCUCCUGGGAUAACACUGACGCUCAUGCACGAAAGCGUGGGGAGCAAACAGG